Non-coding RNA from Paramarasmius palmivorus, 103 nucleotides. Lineage: Eukaryota; Fungi; Basidiomycota; Agaricomycetes; Agaricales; Marasmiaceae. The record is from the annotation of a GenBank genome assembly.
UGCCCCAUGGCUGAGUUGGUUACAGCGUCCGACUGUUACUGCGACCCAUGUGCAUGUGAGCUUAAGCAUCGGAAGGUCGUGAGUUCGAGCCUCACUGGGGCAG